This 403-nucleotide ribosomal RNA is filed under the name Verrucomicrobiota bacterium. RNAcentral describes it as "Verrucomicrobia bacterium partial 16S ribosomal RNA". It matches the Rfam family "Bacterial small subunit ribosomal RNA", at positions 355 to 776 of the family's 1533-position model. Lineage: Bacteria; Pseudomonadati; Verrucomicrobiota. The record is from RNAcentral.
UGGGGAAUAUUGCACAAUGGGCGCAAGCCUGAUGCAGCAACGCCGCGUGAACGAUGAAGGUCUUCGGAUCGAAAAGUUCUGUUGCAGGGGAAGAUAAUGACGGUACACUGUGAGGAAGCCCCGGCUAACUACGCGCCAGCAGCCGCGGUAAUACGUAGGGGGCUAGCGUUAUCCGGAUUUACUGGGCGUAAAGGGUGCGUAGGUGGUCUUUCAAGUCGGUGGUUAAAGGCUACGGCUCAACCGUAGUUAGCCUCCGAAACUGGAAGACUUGAGUGCAGGAGAGGAAAGUGGAAUUCCCAGUGUAGCGGUGAAAUGCGUAGAUAUUGGGAGGAACACCAGUAGCGAAGGCGGCUUUCUGGACUGCAACUGACACUGAGGCACGAAAGCGUGGGUAGCAAACAGG